UUUCCGUAGGUGAACCUGCGGAAGGAUCAUUAUUGAAAAAGACAAGACGCCCCGUUUUUUCGUAAAAUGGGUUCAAUACCCACAACCGUGUAUACCUUACCUUUUGUUGCUCUGGCAGGCCGCCUCCGGGCGUUGGCUUCGGCUGACAGCGCCUGCCAGGGGACCCAAACUCUGUGUUUAGUGAUGUCUGAGUAAUAUAUAAUAUUUUAAAACUUUCAACAACGGAUCUCUUGGUUCUG
Molecule: unclassified non-coding RNA, 239 nt
Filed under: plant metagenome
Description: partial contains small subunit ribosomal RNA, internal transcribed spacer 1, and 5.8S ribosomal RNA
Source: RNAcentral